RNAcentral lists this long non-coding RNA (90 nucleotides) under Anas platyrhynchos platyrhynchos (common mallard). RNAcentral's name for it is "lncRNA (ENSAPLG00000022570.1)". Lineage: Eukaryota; Metazoa; Chordata; Aves; Anseriformes; Anatidae. The record is from RNAcentral.
AAUCUGCCAGCUGAGGAGGUGUUCCUGGAUCCCUUGAUGCCCGUGAGGAUGUGCAGAGAGGUUUCAGGUCAGUAGGGUGGAGCAACCCCG